RNAcentral lists this ribosomal RNA (798 nucleotides) under Faecalibacterium prausnitzii. RNAcentral's name for it is "partial 23S ribosomal RNA". It matches the Rfam family "Bacterial large subunit ribosomal RNA", at positions 406 to 1209 of the family's 2925-position model. Lineage: Bacteria; Bacillati; Bacillota; Clostridia; Eubacteriales; Oscillospiraceae. The record is from RNAcentral.
UCCAGAGUACGGCCAGACACGUGAAACCUGGUCGGAAUACGGGGGGACCACCCUCCAACCCUAAAUACUACCCAGUGACCGAUAGCGUAUAGUACUGUGAAGGAAAGGUGAAAAGCACCCCGGGAGGGGAGUGAAAAAGAACCUGAAACCCUGUGCCUACAAGCACCUAGAGCACGUCAAUGUGUGAUAGGGUACUUUUUGUAGAACGGUCCGGCGAGCGAUUGUAUGCAGCAAGGUUAAGGACUUAAGGUCUGGAGCCGAAGCGAAAGCGAGUUUGAAAAGGGCGUUAAGUUGCAUACAAUGGGCCCGAAACCGGGUGACCUACCCAUGGUCAGGUUGAAGUGGAAGUAAAAUUCCAUGGAGGACCGAACCGACCUCCGUUGAAAAGGCGGCGGAUGAACUGUGGGUAGCGGAGAAAUUCCAAUCGAACCCGGAGAUAGCUGGUUCUCCCCGAAAUAGUUUUAGGACUAGCCUCAAGUUAGAUACCUGGAGGUAAAGCACUGAAUAGCCUAGCGGCCGAGAGGUUAGCGAAGCUUAUCAAACUCAGAAUGCCAGAGUAUUGAUGCUUGGGAGUCAGACAGUGUCAGAUAAAUGUCAUUGUCAAAAGGGAAACAGCCCAGAUCUACAGCUAAGGUCCCAAAGUCAGGUUAAGUGGAAAACGAUGUGAAGAUACGUAGACAACCAGGAUGUUGGCUCAGAAGCAGCCACACAUUCAAAGAGUGCGUAAUAGCUCACUGGUCGAGCGUCUUUGCGCGGAGAAUUUAACGGGGCUAAACCUGACACCGAAGCUUAGGCAAU